CACGUAGGGUGCGAGCGUUGUCCGGAAUUAUUGGGCGGAAAGAGCUCGUAGGCGGUGUGUCGCGUCGGCCGUGAAAACCUGCAGCUUAACUGUGGGCUUGCGGUCGAUACGGGCAUCACUGGAGUUCGGCAGGGGAGACUGGAAUUCCUGGUGUAGCGGUGAAAUGCGCAGAUAUCAGGAGGAACACCGGUGGCGAAGGCGGGUCUCUGGGCCGAUACUGACUCUGAGGAGCGAAAGCGUGGGAGCGAACAGG
This 253-nucleotide ribosomal RNA is filed under the name uncultured bacterium. RNAcentral's name for it is "partial 16S ribosomal RNA". It matches the Rfam family "Bacterial small subunit ribosomal RNA", at positions 524 to 776 of the family's 1533-position model. The record is from RNAcentral.